This 253-nucleotide ribosomal RNA is filed under the name uncultured bacterium. RNAcentral's name for it is "partial 16S ribosomal RNA". It matches the Rfam family "Bacterial small subunit ribosomal RNA", at positions 524 to 776 of the family's 1533-position model. The record is from RNAcentral.
GACGUAGGAUGCGAGCGUUGUCCGGAUUCAUUGGGCGUAAAGAGUUCGUGGGCGGUUUGUUAAGUCUGAUGUUAAAGAUCGGGGCCCAACCCUGGGAGUGCAUUGGAUACUGGCAAGCUGGAGUGCAGUAGAGGCGAGUGGAAUUCCCAGUGUAGCGGUGAAAUGCGUAGAUAUUGGGAAGAACACCGGUGGCGCAGGCGACUCGCUGGGCUGUAACUGACGCUGAGGAACGAAAGCUAGGGGAGCAAAUGGG